Molecule: long non-coding RNA, 3758 nt
Filed under: Podarcis lilfordi (Lilford's wall lizard)
Lineage: Eukaryota; Metazoa; Chordata; Lepidosauria; Squamata; Lacertidae
Source: RNAcentral
GAGCAGACUUUUUCAACCUCUGCCUGUUGUGAAUUGUUGUUGUGAGGGAAACAUGUGAUACUUCUGGUCUCAUCUAAUGGAUCUCAAAUGAUCCCAGGGAGGGGGGCCUCCCGUGAUUAACCAGAAGGUCUGUAUGGAUGUGGAAUUUCUGGAUCCAUGAUCCAAAUCUGUAUCUCAAUUAAAGGGUUGUUGAACUUUACUUAGGCACCCUGAGCUUGGCAAACCUGGGUAUCAGCAGAAGCACCUGGCUUUGUCAAAAGAGCCCUGGCAUUGUGGGUGCAAAGCAGAGCAGGACUGGCAUCAAAUCACACAAGUGACUGGGCAUGAAAACACAUUCGAUUCCUGCAAAUGGAGCAAAUUGGGAGCAUUUAACUUACAGAACGGAGAGCAGGGGGGAAAAACACAGUGGGCAUUGCUUCAAAACUGCUUUGGCAGGGAAGACUGGGUCAAGGAGACAGAUGACACCAUGGAUUUUCUUAAUGUAGGGUAGUUACUCACCAAGGAAGGCACAGGAUGACAGCUACUUUACCCUUGAGAUGCCAACCAUCCAGCCACCAUAGCAUGCUAACCACUGGUCUUCUGGGGGACAGUACCAGGCGUCUGCAAGUAAGCCUAUAAUUAUGCUAGCUUUGAAGUAAUUCCAGUUUAAAUCAAUUGUGUUUACUCAGGAGUAAACAUGGUUAGGUCGGAGCUGAAAGUGCACAGUGUAAAUAUGUACAACUGUUUCUUAAAGCAGAUGUAUUAUAUGUGGGUGGUUCCUAAGAACAAUAAGUGAGUAUAUUGAAGGUGGAAUUUACUUGCAAUUCAUUAAGUACCAUUUCAAGUGACUGCCAGGAUUUCUAGCUGUUUGCCUCUUUAAAAAGUGGUUUUGUGUAAUACUGAAGUGGAGAUGUUCAGAUCUCGCAUGUAGUGAGAUGCAUGAGCAACAUGUGCCUCCAGAACUCCUCUGUUUCACUACAAGAGCGCAAGGAAGAAGUCUGUGCCUCUCAGGGUUCCCCUUUUGCUUGUUAAGAGAUGAGAGAGAGAGCAGAGGUUUAUUCGGUUUCAUUCAUGAACUUUCCAAGUGGCUCAGCACAAGUCCCUCUCUCCCUCUCUCAAGUCCCCAUCCUUUAAGCAAGAUUAAGUGUGGUGACCUUUCUCCCAGAGCAGUUUGGAGAAUGGAUGGAAAGGAAUGGCAACAGUGUUGGUAACUGACUAAAAUUAAUAAGUGGCCUUUGUACCCUCUGGAGGGCAGAAAGCAACAUGAGUAAGCUGAACUUUCAUGAGGUGGCAAUGGGUUGAAGGAGUAUAUAUGUAGAUAAUACACAACACAGACUGCUUGGGCAUCUCUUGUGAGUCCAAGUGUGGUGACCACACAGGGUCCCAGGGCGUUUGACGGUCUAUUGACCCUGUGCCACCACUGUGAUUGCUUUCUUUGCUGCCACCAACCUGUUUCUCACGGGUACACACUAAGUCCAGACAGUUGUUAACAUUAACAAAUAAUCAAGUUUAUUUUAUAGGCAUGAACAAGCUUAUGGUUUCAGUUAAUUUUUCUUGUCAGUUUCUUAAUCUUAGUUCCUUAACUGUCCUAUUCGUUCCUAACAACUUCAAACUGAUUAUCCCAUCUAACUAUCUGACUCCACCUAACAGUUCCUCUCACUCUCACACCACACAACUUGACCAACCCACAGACUUAUCCUCCCUCUUCCUUCUCCAACGCCCCACUCUCAACUGACUUCCACACAACUCCAACUCUCACUCUAACUCCUCCCCUCUGUUUCCACGGGCCAAUCACUUCACACUCAUUUAACCCUUUCCUUAUGACCCACCUAGGAGCAAACGCCACACCAAGCAUCUGCUUUCUCAUGUUAGCUGCGCAAAGUUUGAAAAGCAGGCAUGUUGGAGAGUUCCCACAGUUGGAGCAGACUUUGGCUCUCCACAUCUCUGUAUCUUGCCAGCAUUCUAGUGCAUAUUUUAUUCCCAAUACACACUUUUUAAUGCAAUUUUACCUAAUAUAAAUAUUUCUGCAAGUAUUUCCCCCUAAUAUAAUGCAUUUUAUCUGUUAUCUCCACUAAUACAUUUAUUUAUGAGCACUUUCCCAUAGAAUAUACAUUUUUUUAGCACACAUUACUUGGUUGGAGAACUUCACUGCAAAAUUCAGAGAAGUGCACAUUUUGAAAGAUGGCCGUGCUUCAAGUUUGCACAUGGUCUUAAGAAGCAUCAGAUAGGCAAAUUCGCCUUUAAAUGAGAACUGAAUCAAAUUUGUCCCUCGCCCUUACUUUGUGUGUGUGUGAGAGAGUGCUUGAGACAUAAAGUAAAGCCCCUCACAAACGUCUUGAGCUGACAAAUCAAUUCUUAUAAAAGGGCCAUGUCCUUGCGGCCAGCUGGAAUGUAGAAGGAGGCAUUUGGAACGGGGAGUGCAAUUCUGGGAGCAGCUGUCCUAAUAAUCUGAUCUAUUUCUGAGGCUGAUAAGUGUAGCAAAUCCCUCGUGCUGUCUACUUGAGAUAAACAUUUCUUUUAAAUAACUGAUGGUAUCAGUUUCCUCACUGCCUGGCCCAUAUCCUCAGUCCCAUUGAACCUGGGAGUUUGCUCCAGCUGGGAUCUCAUCCAGUUCCCGUCUGUUGACUGGCCAAUUUAUCUUUGUGGUCAAGUGCACAGGACCAUGGCUAUAUUAAUGGCCGUUUUGUGGCAGGCACUCCACCCCCAGAUCAAAAGCCCAAAUCUAGAAAAUUCAAAUGUCAUGCUUGAGUGAUCCUGGCCCCAAUAUUUGAAAUUUUGAAAUGCAGUUUUAAAAAUAAAUAAAUUCUGGCAGGGAGCAAGAUGUUGGCAGGUGGAGAACUAUGACUAUGAGAUAGGUCAUAGAACUACGUACCACCACUUACCAAAUGUGGGUAGAAACCAUAAGGCAGGAAUUGGUAGCCAUAUAGGGCAUCAAAGGUCUAACCCUUUCCCAUUGAAAUCCAUGUAGAAAUGGGAGGAGACAGACUUAGUCUCGCCCCCAGGUAGAACUGGGAUGGAAAUUAUCAUAAUGGGCCCAUCCAUCCCUAUUAAUACAUGAAUAGAGAUUAAGUUGCUUCUGGAAGCAAAUCCCACUGAAUAGGUAAAAGGUAAAGGUAAAGGACCCCUGGACGGUUAAGUCCAGUCAAAGACGACUAUGGUGUUGCGGCGCUCAUCUCGCUUUCAGGCUGAGGGACCCAGCGCUUGUCCACAGACAGUUUUGCGGGUCAUGUGGCCAGCAUGACUAAAUUGCUACUGGUGCAACGGAACACCGUGAGGGAAAUCAGAGUACACAGAAACACCGUUUACCUUCCCUCCACAGUGGUACCUAUUUAUCUACUUGCACUGGUGUGCUUUCGAACUGCUAGGUUGGCAGGAGCUGGGACAGAGCAACGGAAGCUCACUCCAUCGUGGGAAUUCGAACUGCUGACUUUCCAAUUGGCAAGUUCAAGAGGCUCAGUGGUUUAGACCACAGCACCCUCCUUGUCCCUACUGAAUAUUCUCUCUGUGAUAAAAGGUUUUUUUUUUAGUCCUGAAUCUCCCAUCAUUUCGCUUCAUUGGACAACUCCUGAUUCUAGUAGUAUAUGAGAGAAAGAGGCAGAGAGAGAGAGAAAUCACUUCUUCAUCUGCUUCCUGCUCACUGGUUUUGCGAAGAAGAGGAGCUGCUUCUAAGCACUCUCUGAACAGAAAACUUAGGAUGCCCUCAAGUAUGUGCUGAUUGAAGAGCUCCAGGGGUUCUUUCAAAACAUGAAUUGCAAAAUAAACAAACAACUUUUGACAAA